RNAcentral lists this long non-coding RNA (225 nucleotides) under Gossypium barbadense (sea-island cotton). Its description in RNAcentral is "long non-coding RNA (GBAR_LNC014841)". Lineage: Eukaryota; Viridiplantae; Streptophyta; Magnoliopsida; Malvales; Malvaceae. The record is from RNAcentral.
CGACACAGUCACCCGACGCAGCAAUUCAACCGAUAAUACCUACGCAACCGCCUUUUCAGAUGAUGCCAGGUGCGUUUCCUAGCCCUUAUAUGUAUCCUAACCCUUAUAUGUACCCUUUUCCGAGUCCUAUGGCAGGUUGGAGCCAAAUGCUCGGUUCAGCUCCAUUUCCUGUUAUGCCCAGUGGACCGGCAAUGUAUAGGCCAGCAGCGCAUGAGGGAUCGCAAG